Anneissia japonica is the source of this 186-nucleotide long non-coding RNA. RefSeq lists it as uncharacterized. The record is from RefSeq and is a predicted model, not a curated record. NCBI's taxonomy places the organism in Eukaryota, Metazoa, Echinodermata, Crinoidea, Comatulida, Comatulidae. The transcript is spliced from 3 exons.
UUCACAAUUUUAUGAAAUACUUGUUCAUUUGAGCACUGACUCUACACCAAUCAUGUCAAGUACACGUACCCUGCAAGUGUUGGCUGUAUUCCUGAUAGUGUGUGUUCUGGCUGAAUGUGUCUUUGCUGACGCCUUACCUGAUGAAAAUGAGCUUGUAGAGCAAAGUAGAAUUCGCCGAGACCCAGG